Molecule: ribosomal RNA, 527 nt
Filed under: uncultured Parabacteroides sp.
Lineage: Bacteria; Pseudomonadati; Bacteroidota; Bacteroidia; Bacteroidales; Tannerellaceae
Description: bacterial SSU rRNA
Rfam family: Bacterial small subunit ribosomal RNA
Source: RNAcentral
AGAGUUUGAUCCUGGCUCAGGAUGAACGCUAGCGACAGGCUUAACACAUGCAAGUCGAGGGGCAACAGGGUGUAGCAAUACACGGCUGGCGACCGGCGAAUGGGUGAGUAACACGUAUGCAACCUACCUUCAAGAGGGGAAUAGCCCGGCGAAAGUCGGAUUAAUGCGCCAUAAAACAGGGGUCACGCAUGUGACUAUUUGUUAAAGGAUUAAUUGCUUGAAGAUGGGCAUGCGUUCCAUUAGGCAGUUGGCGGGGUAACGGCCCACCAAACCGACGAUGGAUAGGGGUUCUGAGAGGAAGGUCCCCCACAUUGGUACUGAGAAACGGACCAAACUCCUACGGGAGGCAGCAGUGAGGAAUAUUGGUCAAUGGGCGCGAGCCUGAACCAGCCAAGUCGCGUGAAGGAAGAAGGAUCUAUGGUUUGUAAACUUCUUUUACAGGGGGGUAAAGUGAGUGACGAGUCGCUCAUUGCAAGUACCCUGCGAAUAAGCAUCGGCUAACUCCGUGCCAGCCGCCGCGGUAAUUC